AUAAAAUAAUUAUUGUUUAUCAAUAUUUUGUGCUUUAUUUAUUAUUUAACAAUGGUUAAAGUGUGUGUGGUGCGAAGUUGAUUGAAUAGCUGAUGGAAAAAUAAAGAGCAAAGGCAAAGCCUACGACAAGAAUUAGAUUACAGUGAUGGUCAAAAGCAUUUAGAUAUUGCUUUGAAAUCUACAGAUAAGGUAUGGCAGUUUCAUUUUAAAGAACAAGAUGUUGAAGUUUGUGAUAAAAUUGUCAUCAGAAAUACUGUCCACUUCAGUAUUUACAUAGGAAAAUAUUGGAGGAUGAAGCUCUACCUACUGCCUCAGGUUAAUUUAAAUUCUGAAUUGCAACAACAGCAACAAGCAAGAAGGGCACCAUUAAAUGAAUAUUAUACACAUAAGUAUUAUUAUACACAGAAAGAGUAAUGUUAUACACAUAAAUAUUAACAUUUUGUAGAGCAACAACAGAAUAAAAAACCAAAAUAUGAACACCAGCAACUAAAACAGGAACCAUUAAAUGAAUAUUAUACACAGCAAUAACAGCAUCAAAUAAUGGAAAUAAUGGACU
This is a long non-coding RNA of Sitophilus oryzae (rice weevil), 556 nucleotides long. RefSeq lists it as uncharacterized. The transcript is spliced from 3 exons. The record is from RefSeq and is a predicted model, not a curated record. Lineage: Eukaryota; Metazoa; Arthropoda; Insecta; Coleoptera; Curculionidae.